GGAUGUUCAAAAAGGGAGAAAAGUCUCUUUUCCCCAUGGGGGCCCAGUGUGCCAUGGCUGCAAUCAGCAGCCUCCUUAGUAGUAUAUGCAGCCUGUUGCUUGUACAGGUUGCCCUAAGGACCUUGGAGACAGCC
This 134-nucleotide small nucleolar RNA is filed under the name Catagonus wagneri (Chacoan peccary). Its description in RNAcentral is "Small nucleolar RNA SNORA70 (ENSCWAG00000017892.1)". It matches the Rfam family "Small nucleolar RNA SNORA70". From Rfam's summary of the family: snoRNA U70 seems to be exclusive to mammals and is a member of the H/ACA class of snoRNA which contain H (ANANNA) and ACA box motifs. Lineage: Eukaryota; Metazoa; Chordata; Mammalia; Artiodactyla; Tayassuidae. The record is from Rfam by way of RNAcentral.